UACAGAGGUCUCAAGCGUUGUUCGGAUUCAUUGGGCGUAAAGGGUGUGUAGGUGGCGCGCUAAGUCGGGUGUGAAAUUUCGGAGCUUAACUGCGAAACUGCAUUCGAUACUGGCGUGCUUGAGGACUGGAGAGGAGACUGGAAUUCAUGGUGUAGCAGUGAAAUGCGUAGAGAUCAUGAGGAAGACCAGUGGCGAAGGCGGGUCUCUGGACAGUUCCUGACACUGAGGCACGAAGGCCAGGGGAGCAAACGGG
Molecule: ribosomal RNA, 253 nt
Filed under: uncultured bacterium
Lineage: Bacteria
Description: partial 16S ribosomal RNA
Rfam family: Bacterial small subunit ribosomal RNA
Source: RNAcentral